This 213-nucleotide long non-coding RNA is filed under the name Sorghum bicolor (sorghum). Its description in RNAcentral is "long non-coding RNA (SBIC_LNC008647)". The record is from RNAcentral. Lineage: Eukaryota; Viridiplantae; Streptophyta; Magnoliopsida; Poales; Poaceae.
GGCCAUCGGUUCUCUCCACAUUAAGGCAAGCCCUCUUCAAGAGCUUUCUUUCUCGUUUUGACUCGACGAAGACUUUGCCUCUAAAGAUGGAGUGUACCAUGUCGGUGGGACUGAUAUAUUGGUGCCGUGGGUCCCUGUCCUGGUCGUCGUCUUCGUCUUCCUGACCGCGUCUGUCCUGUUUUCCGUUUUUCUUGGCGGUAUCCCCCUGAGUAG